GCACAACGCGAAGAACCUUACCACCUUUUGACAUGCCCGGACCGCCACAGAGAUGUGGCUUUCCCUUCGGGGACUGGGACACAGGUGCUGCAUGGCUGUCGUCAGCUCGUGUCGUGAGGUGUUGGGUUAAGUCCCGCAACGAGCGCAACCCUCGCCAUUAGUUGCCAUCAUUCAGUUGGGAACUCUAAUGGGACUGCCGGUGCUAAGCCGGAGGAAGGUGGGGAUGACGUCAAGUCCUCAUGGCCCUUACAGGGUGGGCUACACACGUGCUACAAUGGCGACUACAGAGGGUUAUCCUUAAAAGUCGUCUCAGUUCGGAUUGUCCUCUGCAACUCGAGGGCAUGAAGUUGGAAUCGCUAGUAAUCACGGAUCAGCAUGCCGCGGUGAAUACGUUCCCGGGUCUUGUACACACCG
RNAcentral lists this ribosomal RNA (414 nucleotides) under uncultured bacterium. RNAcentral describes it as "bacterial SSU rRNA". It matches the Rfam family "Bacterial small subunit ribosomal RNA", at positions 954 to 1392 of the family's 1533-position model. The record is from RNAcentral.